This 509-nucleotide ribosomal RNA is filed under the name uncultured bacterium. Its description in RNAcentral is "partial 16S ribosomal RNA". It matches the Rfam family "Bacterial small subunit ribosomal RNA", at positions 37 to 537 of the family's 1533-position model. The record is from RNAcentral.
GACGAACGCUGGCGGCGUGCUUAACACAUGCAAGUCGAACGGAAAGGCCCUGCUUUUGUGGGGUGCUCGAGUGGCGAACGGGUGAGUAACACGUGAGUAACCUGCCCUUGACUUUGGGAUAACUUCAGGAAACUGGGGCUAAUACCGGAUAGGAGCUCCUGCUGCAUGGUGGGGGUUGGAAAGUUUCGGCGGUUGGGGAUGGACUCGCGGCUUAUCAGCUUGUUGGUGGGGUAGUGGCUUACCAAGGCUUUGACGGGUAGCCGGCCUGAGAGGGUGACCGGGCAGGGUGAGAGGACGAGGCGGCCCAGACACAGAGAGGAGGCAGGAGGGGGGAGGAGGGAAAGAGGGGCGGAAGCAUGAGGCAGGAACGCCGCUGGGGGGAGGUCGGCCGCGUGGUUGUGACCGGCUUGCGACGGUGAUGAAGCGGGAGUGCAGGAAAGGAGCAAAGAAGAAACGGCAAACUACAUGCCAGCGGCAGCGGUAAGAAGAGGAAUAGAAAACGGGUGAGC